RNAcentral lists this ribosomal RNA (380 nucleotides) under Dirofilaria sp. 'hongkongensis'. RNAcentral's name for it is "partial small subunit ribosomal RNA". The record is from RNAcentral. Lineage: Eukaryota; Metazoa; Nematoda; Chromadorea; Rhabditida; Onchocercidae.
UUUUAUGUUUUUUUUGUAAAAUAUUUUGAUUUUUUGUAUUUUUUUGUAAUAUUUAAAAUUUGGUUUUUGAACUGGAUUAGUACCCAGGUAAUCAAAGUUUAUUAAUUCGGGAGUAAAGUUUUGUUUAAACCGAAAAAAUAUUGACUGACUUUAGAUUUUUCUUUGGAAUAUGUGUUUUUGGAGAGCCCUCUUUUUUGGUAAAUUUUAUUGGCACAUGUAUGAUUGUUUAGUUUUUAUUUUAUUUGUGUUGCUUUUUUUGUUUUUUGCAUUUAAAACAGAUAUAUAUUUGGCUUAUAAAUUUAUUUUUCAUGUGUUACUAUUAUUAAUUUUUUUUGGAUUUGUUUUUUAUUUUAUUUUUGAAAUUGGAAAAGAAAGUAAUU